RNAcentral lists this long non-coding RNA (2148 nucleotides) under Suricata suricatta (meerkat). RNAcentral's name for it is "lncRNA (ENSSSUG00005021648.1)". The record is from RNAcentral. Lineage: Eukaryota; Metazoa; Chordata; Mammalia; Carnivora; Herpestidae.
CUCUGGUCGAAAUGGGUGCGUUUCUAACGAAAUACAUCGCGCUUACGGAAAGAGGGUAAAAAUAAUACAAAGCAUCCUUGUUUAUUUUGGCUGUCUUUUCUUCAGCUCUUUUUAAGAAGAAACAUUUUAAGAAAUAAGACAUUCUGGAAACAGUCGUCUUUCCCUCAGUGAGCCCAUCGCCUCCUUCCUCGGAGGUAAGCACCACCGUAAAUAUGGUGUUUAUCAUCCUCAUGCGUGUUUUACACUGUGCUGCAUAUGUACGUGCCCAGAAACAAUGCAGGGUGUGCUCUGCGUGUUUCCAAACUUCCCACACAUGGUCCCAGAACGGGCGCCUCCUUCUGCGACUUGCUCUCUUCCACUCAACGUGUUGUUUUUUUUAAUUUUUCAGGACACGUCCAGGCUGAUUUGUAAAGCUCUGCGUCGUGCAUUUCCCCUGCAGUAUAGUAUUUCAUUGUGGAAACAGACGAGAUUUAACUUAUCUUAUUGGUUUCCAAUUUUCCACUCUCACCAGCAUGAUCAUCCCCGCCUCGCCCGCGUGUAAGAGUGCCUUUUAAGAACACGCAUGUGGGGACUCUCUCCUGGACACGUCUGCCUCCCCGGCCGGACACAGAGCCGUCACCGCCGCGCCUCCGGGGCCCAGUACGACGGUGGGCGUGUGGGGUUCACCGAGCUGACGUGCGGAACCGUGAUUUCCCAGCCCCUGCACUUACAGGUGAGGAGUGAACCCCCCAGGAAAGGGGCACCUAGCCCUGGGCCCCUCCCCAGCUCUCUGGCCCAGAUCCCCAGCCAGACUCCCGAUCCACACGAGGGAGGGAAAAGGCAAAGCGGCGUUCCAGAGACCUUACCUGGACGCUGGGGCUCACGGUGCGGAGUGGCCUCACACCUGGCCCCCCGCCCCAUGAGAUCUCAGCCCCGCACUUCCAGAUAGAGACCUCGAUCUGGGCACCCUGCACCCAGGCCGUUCUGCCCUUCGUGGGCUGGUUCUGUGCAGCAGGAGUCCUGCCAGGUCCGUCCUGGGGGAGACCCGGGUCUGGGACCCGAGAGACCCUGGCACACGGCCUCGAGUGGAGCGCGGGCCCCUGCGGCGCACGACUGCGGCGGAGUCCCCAGCCCCCUCCUUCCCGCCUGCACGGCCCUGGGUGAGUGACCUCGCCGCACCGCGCUCCACUCUCUUCAUCUUCAAAACGAGGCUGGCAGGGCCCCGGGUGGCCCAAGUGGUUAAGCAUCUGACUCUGGCUUAGGUCACUGUCUCCCGGUUCCUGAGGUCAAGUCCCACCUCUCUCUCUCUGCCUCUCCUGGGAUUCUCUCUGCCUCUUGCUCACUUGUGCGCUCGCGCUCUCUCUCUCUCUCAAAAAAAAUACAAAUAAAUAAGUAAAACGGGGUUGGCGAGCCCAACCACCCCACCACGGUACUGGGGGGACCCGGCAAGUUCUUCUGCACAGAGCAGUUCACGCCGCACCUGGCACAUGCCAGGGCUUAACCACCACCCUCCCCUCCGCGUUCCACGCAGGCAGGUGCAGCACCCGAGCACCCUGUGCACGUGGCCCCCCGCCCACUCUGACUCUGCGGCCCCGGGCAGGUGCUUCCCGGAGGCCCCAGUUCCGCACCUGAACAUGGGGACAGCCCCACCGGGACACCACUUUGUCCCAAGGAUGCGAAGAGCCGGAACGAGGCCGGGAUGGGGUGAGCUGAGGAGCCGAGCGCCUGGAGCUCUCACCGCCCACCCGUCCGUAGCUGCCGGGGGUCCCGCCUCGUCCUGUUCAUCGUGGCCCACGCGCCACGUGCAGACGCGAAAUACGUUCCAUCGUUAGAACACGAAGUCACAUCUGUGACAGCGCCUGGCUCCAUACCCGGCCCGUCGCAGGGGGUGGGGGGGUGCCUGGGGGGGGGGGGGCAGUCACCGGAUCUCUCGCGGCCUCGGUCCGCUCACCUGGAAAUAGGACGGACCGCUCUGUGCCGCACAGAGACCUUGGGACACUCAAAGCACAGCACACGACACGUGUGCCAUAAACUGGAGAAGCCACAAGACAAACUGAACUCACUGAUACGGGAGGAAGAGACUGCUCAGUUUGUCUUUGGUCCCUGUAUGUUUAGGCUCGGAGCCUGAAGGCCGCCCGGUGAGAAUUCCUGGGAGAUUUAAGGACAGAC